Molecule: ribosomal RNA, 624 nt
Filed under: Triticum aestivum (bread wheat)
Lineage: Eukaryota; Viridiplantae; Streptophyta; Magnoliopsida; Poales; Poaceae
Description: partial small subunit ribosomal RNA
Source: RNAcentral
AUGUCAACAACCAGGAAGAGACCUCCUCCCAGUUCUGCAGUUGGACAGAGCAAAAAGCCAUCUGGAAAGGCUCCGCUGCCCACGGAUCACCUCCCAGACGAUGAUCCCAAAGAUACCCUUCGGUGUGAGGCUUUAGAUGGUAAACCCAUGGUUUCAGAAUUUGUGGUACAUUACUACGCACAGAAGUAUGGUCAGUCUCUCUUCCUGGACCCAAAUGUGAAAGGCGGCUAUGUUGAUGUGAGAUUUGCAGACCAUAAUCAAGCACAAUUAGUUGUAGAACAACGUGAAGAGUAUCCAUUCAAAGUGACUUGGACACCUACUGUUGAUAGAUCGCAGAUGAUUACCCCUGGGAAAGUGGAAUUGUACCAACCUCCUCGUGAUCGUGAUGUCUACGAUAUGGAGCUUGCUGUCCCCAUGCCUUGGACCAAUCCUUUUCCCGUAAGAUUUGAACCUCGGAAAAUGGCUGGCGAUCCGGUGCGGCCCAUCUACCCAGAAAAAGCUCAGCCAAAUCCUCCAUUAUCGAAGCCUCCUUUCGCUCAGCCUAUUUGGCCGGAUCCACCAUCACGUGACCAUUUCAUCAAGUACUACAUGACCAACGUCCCGGAACCAGAUCCUUCUACAUGA